Long non-coding RNA from Catharus ustulatus (Swainson's thrush), 508 nucleotides. RefSeq lists it as uncharacterized. The transcript has 3 exons. The record is from RefSeq and is a predicted model, not a curated record. NCBI's taxonomy places the organism in Eukaryota, Metazoa, Chordata, Aves, Passeriformes, Turdidae.
CACAGUGUUCCUGUUGCCUUCUAACAGCUCCUUUUUCCCUCAUCAUUUUCCAGGCUGCAGGUGUCACUGCUCUCUCCGCCACUGAGCAAGGAAACCUGCUGCUGAAUUUCUCCAUGCUUGGGAAAAGUUUAAUGGCUACAAAGCAUUGGAUCUGCAGGGGAUAAGAAGAAUCGUUUCCCAGAGAUUUUCUGCGAAAUGAAGACAAGACAAGAAGACAGAAGUUUGAACAAGAUUUCUGCUGAGCAAACGAAGAGAAUGUGACCAGGAGCCGGCCUGACCUCGAGCACUGAAGGAGACAAUUUACAGUGACUCUGACUGGAACCCAAGUGCCUUUACUGGGUCUCCAGGAUGUAAAUAGUUCCAUGUUCUCUGGUUUUUGUGGAUAAUUCCAUGUUAUCUGUUUUUUUGGAGCCUCAGAAACAGUUCUGUUUUAUUUCUUUUCUUACUGUUCAAUGCAAAGCACCUGCAUACUUUUGUGUUUAAGUAAAGUUUUACGUUCUCUUCGUUA